ACACAUCCAGUUUGUAAAAUGCUCAGUUCAACUUCGGCCAGCAAUCAAAAAAGUUCAUUAUGAAAGUCUUCAAUUUAAAUCUCUUAAGAUUGUUGAUGUUUUUCCUAGCGCUCAACGUAUUAGAAUUUGAGAAGGGAGAACCGAUGUGUCCCCUCUUUAAGCAGUGCUCAGACCUAAAACAUGAUUAUAUUUCAACCACAACGACAACCACAGAGAAAACCUUAAAGUAAAGAUUGGUACCCGACGAUGCCGCAAAACCAAAGUUAAAAAUAUUAAUAAUAUGCAAAACCUUUCCAUAUUUAAUCAAAAACAUUAUUGAUAAUUGUAAUCCCUUGUGUAAAAUUGGCAACAUAAAUAUACUACACUAUCUUAUGUGAACAAAA
Molecule: long non-coding RNA, 383 nt
Organism: Drosophila elegans
Lineage: Eukaryota; Metazoa; Arthropoda; Insecta; Diptera; Drosophilidae
Exons: 2
Source: RefSeq, a predicted model, not a curated record